Molecule: ribosomal RNA, 484 nt
Filed under: uncultured bacterium
Lineage: Bacteria
Description: partial 16S ribosomal RNA
Rfam family: Bacterial small subunit ribosomal RNA
Source: RNAcentral
AGGGAAAGAGGGAGGCAUGCUUUACACAUGCGAGUCGAACGGCAGCGCGGGCUUCGGCCUUGCGGCGAGUGGCGCACGGGUGAAUAAUACCUCGGCACGCGCCCUGUAGUGGGGGAUAGCCCGGCGAAAGCAGGAUUAAUCCCGCAUACGACCUGAGGGUGAACGCGGGGGCUCUUCGGACCUCGCGACUUUGGCGGGGCCGAUGGGAGAUUAGCUAGUUGGUGGGGUAAAGGCCUACCAAGGCGACGAUCUGUCGCUGGUCUGAGAGGACGACCCGCCACACUGGGACUGAGACACGGCCCAGACUCCUACGGGAGGCAGCAGUGGGGAAUUUUGGACAAUGGGCGAAAGCCUGAGCCAGCAAUGCCGCGUGUGUGAUGAAGGCCUUCGGGUUGUAAAGCACUUUUGGCGGGAACGAAAAGGACUGUGCCAAUACCACGGUUCGAUGACGGUACCCGCAGAAUAAGCACCGGCUAACUACGUG